Molecule: ribosomal RNA, 514 nt
Filed under: uncultured bacterium
Lineage: Bacteria
Description: bacterial SSU rRNA
Rfam family: Bacterial small subunit ribosomal RNA
Source: RNAcentral
AGAGUUUGAUCAUGGCUCAGGAUGAACGCUGGCGGCGUGCCUAACACAUGCAAGUCGAACGGGUUAAGGGAAAUUUCGGAUGGAACUUAACUUAGUGGCGGACGGGUGAGUAACGCGUGGAUAACCUGCCUCACACUGGGGGAUAGCAGCUGGAAACGGCUGGUAAUACCGCAUAAGACCACGGUGCCGCAUGGCACCGGGGUAAAAGAUUUAUCGGUGUGAGAUGGAUCCGCGUCUGAUUAGCCAGUUGGCGGGGUAACGGCCCACCAAAGCGACGAUCAGUAGCCGGCCUGAGAGGGUGAACGGCCACAUUGGGACUGAGACACGGCCCAAACUCCUACGGGAGGCAGCAGUGGGGAAUAUUGCACAAUGGGCGCAAGCCUGAUGCAGCCAACGCCGCGUGAGUGAAGAAGUAUUUCGGUAUGUAAAGCUCUAUCGGCAGGGAAGAAAGGCCCGAAAGGGAGAUGACGGUACCUGACUAAGAAGCCCCGGCUAACUACGUGCCAGCCGCCGC